Molecule: ribosomal RNA, 269 nt
Filed under: uncultured prokaryote
Description: partial 16S ribosomal RNA
Rfam family: Bacterial small subunit ribosomal RNA
Source: RNAcentral
CACGGGGGGAGCAAGCGUUGUCCGGAUUUACUGGGCGUAAAGAGCGUGUAGGCGGGAUGAUAAGUCAGUGGUGAAAUCUCUCGGCUCAACCGAGAAUCUGCUAUUGAUACUGUCAUUCUUGAGUACGGAAGAGGGAAGUGGAAUUCCUGGUGUAGCGGUGAAAUGCGUAGAUAUCAGGAAGAACACCAGUAGCGAAGGCGGCUUCCUGGUCCGUAACUGACGCUGAGACGCGAAAGCGUGGGGAGCAAACAGGAUUAGAUACCCCCGUA